GAUUUUCCUACCUGCUUAUACUUGGUAACCGAGGGAAUUACUAAGACUUCUUGCUCAUUUCUGAGUAUUGUCUUUAUAUCCUGACACUAUGAAUGCUACUUGGAUGCCUCUUAAGGGUCUCUUCUGCAGGGUCCCCAUGAAUUGUGGCUGAAGUUGUGCACAAACAAGUAUCUCCAGUGACAGGAGUGCCUUCUGAGGCAGCCCAUUGCAUCUUCAUCUGCUGACACUCUGCUAGGCUGACUUCUGUAGUUUUCACCACUGAUCUUCAGUCCACCUCACAGAGCUCUAUAAAACGCUUGAAUCCUCUUUACAUCAUAGACUUUCAGCUACUUGAAGAUAGCCAUCAGCCGCUACGUGACUCUUUGCUCCAGGUAAAAUCUCCAGUUAUAGCAGCUGUUCUUCAUAUG
RNAcentral lists this long non-coding RNA (407 nucleotides) under Pan troglodytes (chimpanzee). Its description in RNAcentral is "long non-coding RNA NONPTRT007083". Lineage: Eukaryota; Metazoa; Chordata; Mammalia; Primates; Hominidae. The record is from RNAcentral.